This 85-nucleotide ribosomal RNA is filed under the name Lonchocarpus guatemalensis var. megalanthus. RNAcentral describes it as "partial 28S ribosomal RNA". It matches the Rfam family "Eukaryotic large subunit ribosomal RNA", at positions 1 to 84 of the family's 3401-position model. The record is from RNAcentral. Lineage: Eukaryota; Viridiplantae; Streptophyta; Magnoliopsida; Fabales; Fabaceae.
CGAGACCUCAGGUCAGACGGGGCUACCCGCUGAGUUUAAGCAUAUCAAUAAGCGGAGGAAAAGAAACUAACAGGAUUCCCUUAGU